RNAcentral lists this non-coding RNA (27 nucleotides) under Rattus norvegicus (Norway rat). Lineage: Eukaryota; Metazoa; Chordata; Mammalia; Rodentia; Muridae. The record is from RNAcentral.
UUGAAGGAUGCUCAGGUGCAUCUCUCC